UACAGAGGGUGCAAGCGUUAAUCGGAAUUACUGGGCGUAAAGCGCGCGUAGGCGGCUGAUUAAGUCGGGUGUGAAAGCCCCGGGCUCAACCUGGGAAUUGCAUCCGAUACUGAUUGGCUAGAGUAUGAGAGAGGGAGGUAGAAUUCCACGUGUAGCGGUGAAAUGCGUAGAUAUGUGGAGGAAUACCGGUGGCGAAGGCGGCCUCCUGGCUUAAUACUGACGCUGAGGUGCGAAAGCGUGGGGAGCAAACGGG
RNAcentral lists this ribosomal RNA (253 nucleotides) under uncultured bacterium. RNAcentral describes it as "partial 16S ribosomal RNA". It matches the Rfam family "Bacterial small subunit ribosomal RNA", at positions 524 to 776 of the family's 1533-position model. The record is from RNAcentral.